Molecule: long non-coding RNA, 2170 nt
Organism: Aedes aegypti (yellow fever mosquito)
Lineage: Eukaryota; Metazoa; Arthropoda; Insecta; Diptera; Culicidae
Exons: 2
Source: RefSeq, a predicted model, not a curated record
GUGAACUGCCCACCCAGCUACGUUACAGUAAAGCGAUUGUCAUGAGUGGGUGAAUGAAAACCCCACUCUCUAAUAUAGCAGAGAAUGAGUUGCUAGUUCCAAUAAAAUAACUCUCCGUUGUCAGUGUAGAGUAAUAGAUAGGUCAACUAAAAUGAAGUAAUAUCUGAGCUUAGCGAUAUCUAGUCAGUCGUAGUUGGACAACAGGUCGUACUAGCCAUAAAUCUUAGUUAAGGUCAAAAAAUGUAAAAUUAAGUGUUGUAAAUAUAUUCGGUUAAUUGUAAUUUAAAGAAUCAGAAGCAUAAAACUUCCCAUCGUGUUGGGGGAUUGCUGGCCAACAUACAGUCCACUUCAAGCAACCGCAUUCCCAAGGACUCUCCCCCAACAUUUGGUCCUUCGAGCCGGAUUCAACCAAAAGGAAAUAAGAACGCUUCUGCUAUGGUAGCAGAAAUACCCAAAUGGAUACCACCAUCAUACAAAAUCUACGGUCAUACAAGGAUGAUAUAACCGCCAUCGCAGGCGACCAAGUGAAAGGAACUUCGCCAUUACUGGAAACCAACAAUCGUCUGGUGCAUAGGAGAGGAACAAUAAUAGUAAAAAUGGACUACGAAGCUACUAACCAGAAUGUUCUGUGAUCGGAUCACACCUUCACGGAUGUCGAACUGCUGCACUGGCGAAAAUGCCUUUUUCUCAGGUAAAUAAAAGGUGCAGUAUAUGUCCGCCGAGGCAGGCCAAAUUCCUAAACUAACACCAUAAUUUCAUCAUUUUCUCACCAAUCAACAUCAUUGGCACAAUCGGAGCUCAUCUGCGAUAGGUGCAUCGUUUGCUUGGACCAAUUAUUGGAAUCCUUUGGCCGCUUCAAACGCAUUGGCAAACGGUAUCGAGGAUAAAAUUCACGGCAACUAUGGCUACAUAGAACAAUCCUUAACAGCACACCAUCUUCGGCUGUUAAGUGCAGACCUUCACUAAGAAAUGAAAACAUAUUAAGAUGGUAUGCAGAACACCAACACCACAUUAGUUUGCACUACACGACGGAUCAUCAUUUCACGAGAGACAGUCAUUGAACAUUAUCUCUGUGAUAGCACUGGAGCUCACUGAGUUAACUCUUCGGCAUCAGCAAGCACUCAUCGAACCAGAAGAAUGACGUCAAAAAUAUCUCCAAUUACUGGCGACAAUAUUUCCAAGGCUAUGCUGUGAUGAAUGGGCUCUACAUCCAGAGGAUUGGGAUUGUCUUCUAAUAUCCAUUAUGAACGAUUCACUAUGGAUAGGAUGUUAUCUGCAGCAACAGCUGUUGUUGGUGCACUUGCAAUGGAUGUUUCAUUCCAUCUAAUCGCGGUAACACGAGAUCAAACUGGAGUUGCACUUAUGUUUUCAGACAUCACUAAGUUAGCAUCAUCUUCUAUUCUUCAAGGUAAAUAUAAACACUUAGUGUAUGUUCUGCCGAAGCUUAGAGAUUUCCAUGGCUAACACUGUUUUAUUCCGUAUCUUACACCAUAACAUCGGACUAAACGUGACUUUGAGGCAACGGAGGAAACUGAACAACUGAGCCACAUCAUGAUGACUUCCACACCUUGGUAACCGAAUAUCAACGUUCAACUAUAGGAUCUCAAGUGAGCGCCUGCUGUAGUAUUACUUUUGGGCUGGACAAUACAUGGACAUUGUGAUUCGGUUUCGGUGGAAGGAAUGCCGAAAUAUAUUCGGACGUUCGGAGCUUGCGAUAGUCACUACACCACCACAAGAAAUUACUAUGGAAAAUUGGUUGUAAAAUUGGAUACCAGCGGAGGAUGAAACAUCUUUUGGCAAUGGAAACUUCGUGACGAACAUUGCUCAUGUAACGAGCGUAUUACUAAUAAUUGAUCCGAAGCAGUGAAAUCGUCUGCGUAUUUAACCGAGAGAUGUUGGAUAGCUAUACCGUAGGUUUGGAGAGGCUGCUGCAAGUGAUAUCCGUUAAGGUUAGUAACUACAAAUGUAUAUGUCCGGCCGAAGCACGGACGAAUGUUUACUACACUAACCCAACUUCCUCUCCACAAUCUACAUGGUCGAUAUGCAUCGCACACACGGAGUUGUACGGUAUCACUAUCACACCACUGCAAUCAUCUGAAGAUACCAAUCUAGAGAGCGGGAGAGCACUUUAUGAUGGGAGCUUAUUCAAGAUACAAUUGGGCUUAAGGAA